UAUUCUAGCCUUCUCCUCCUCCCAGCUGCAUCUCCACACAUCAUUCUCCACCUCUAAGCCGAAGAAACCGAGGGAGGAGGCUCUCAACUUCUCCGUCGCCCUCAUCCUUGCUGCCGGCCGCGAAGAAGACGACUAUCGUACUUGUAAAUAAGCCAGGCGGAUCGACGGGAACGCCGUCGUGCCCACGGCACUCCGGAGCGCGCUCCAAGCGCCGCCGCAGCCGACAUCGUCGUCGUUCCGACCAUUGUAGACCAAACAAAGCCGAGCCGUCGCGCCAACGUCUUCUCCUUGAAGUCUUCCUCAAAAACCCUCAAAAAUCCUAGGCAAUGGCGCAGCAAGUGCGGAGAUCGGCUACCGUCUUCUUCACCUCCGGUCGCCGUCGCCAUUGUCGAUUCCGCCUCCUCCGGUGAGCCAUUGUCCGAUUCUUCGCGUAUACACCAUCCCUGGGACCUCACUAACCCCAUGAAAACACAUGGAUGUCAAUUCGAUGAGUGGAUCGAGCCGUUGCCGUCUCCCCGGAGCUCUACACCGUCGCCGGACCAUCUUCUUCACCGCUGCCGCUGUCCAGACUUUCCCGCGCCUCGUUCAAGGUUUUAGACUUAGUCUUUGAGUGAUGCGGGUAAUCGACUGCUUCUUCUAGGACUUGAAUUUAAUGGGGUAAAUCCCUAGUCGGUGUGCUUGUGGAUUGGGUAGACAAGCUUCCGCUGUUCUAUAUAUUUAUUUGGCCAGUCGGCCAAUGUAACUAAAGUAGAUGUAGUUUAUAAUCGCUUUCAUCUUAUUUGUGUUUGCUAUGUAUAAUCAUGCUUGAGAUGAAAGUGUGAAUCUAGUGCACAUCCUGGGAA
Molecule: non-coding RNA, 842 nt
Organism: Oryza sativa Japonica Group (Japanese rice)
Lineage: Eukaryota; Viridiplantae; Streptophyta; Magnoliopsida; Poales; Poaceae
Source: RefSeq, a predicted model, not a curated record